CUUGCUCCACAUAAGAGGUCCAGCCUGCCCAGUGACAUAGUUCAACGGCCGCGGUAUCCUAACCGUGCGAAGGUAGCGUAAUCACUUGUUCUUUAAAUAAGGACUAGUAUGAAAGGCACCACGAGAGUCAUACUGUCUCCUUUUUCUAAUCAGUGAAACUAAUCCCCCCGUGAAGAAGCGGGAAUAAAAAUAUAAGACGAGAAGACCCUAUGGAGCUUUAAACAAAUAACACUUGCCCCCUCCAACCUCUACUUCAGAGAAAUUUCCUACCCUGGCAUCAUGAUUAUUAGUUUUCGGUUGGGGUGACCGCGGAACAAAAAACAACCUCCGCAAUGAAAGCACACUCGCUUAAUCAAGAGCUACAACCCUACACAUCAACAAAUUGACACAAUUGACCCAACAUGUUGAUCAAUGAAC
Molecule: ribosomal RNA, 417 nt
Filed under: Adenomera bokermanni group sp. ABGD cluster 10
Lineage: Eukaryota; Metazoa; Chordata; Amphibia; Anura; Leptodactylidae
Description: partial large subunit ribosomal RNA
Rfam family: Bacterial large subunit ribosomal RNA
Source: RNAcentral